CCUACGGGAGGCAGCAGUGGGGAAUAUUGGACAAUGGGCGAAAGCCUGAUCUAGCCAUGCCGCGUGUGUGAAGAAGGUCUUCGGAUUGUAAAGCACUUUAAGUUGGGAGGAAGGGUUGUAGAUUAAUACUCUGCAAUUUUGACGUUACCGACAGAAUAAGCACCGGCUAACUCUGUGCCAGCAGCCGCGGUAAU
Molecule: ribosomal RNA, 194 nt
Filed under: uncultured bacterium
Lineage: Bacteria
Description: partial 16S ribosomal RNA
Rfam family: Bacterial small subunit ribosomal RNA
Source: RNAcentral